Molecule: transfer RNA, 72 nt
Filed under: Capra hircus (goat)
Lineage: Eukaryota; Metazoa; Chordata; Mammalia; Artiodactyla; Bovidae
Also listed under: 1 other name
Rfam family: tRNA
About the family: Transfer RNA (tRNA) molecules are approximately 80 nucleotides in length. Their secondary structure includes four short double-helical elements and three loops (D, anti-codon, and T loops).
Source: Rfam by way of RNAcentral
UCCGUGGUGGUCCAAUGGCUAAGACUCUUCACUCCCAAUGCAGGGGCCCAGGUUCGAUCCCUGGUCGGGGUA